CGGUCCAGACUCCUACGGGAGGCAGCAGUGGGGAAUAUUGCACAAUGGGCGCAAGCCUGAUGCAGCCAUGCCGCGUGUGUGAAGAAGGCCUUCGGGUUGUAAAGCACUUUCAGCGGGGAGGAAGGCGAUAAGGUUAAUAACCUCAUCGAUUGACGUUACCCGCAGAAGAAGCACCGGCUAACUCCGUGCCAGCAGCCGCGGUAAUACGGAGGGUGCAAGCGUUAAUCGGAAUUACUGGGCGUAAAGCGCACGCAGGCGGUCUGUCAAGUCGG
This 272-nucleotide ribosomal RNA is filed under the name Klebsiella pneumoniae. RNAcentral's name for it is "partial 16S ribosomal RNA". It matches the Rfam family "Bacterial small subunit ribosomal RNA", at positions 327 to 591 of the family's 1533-position model. Lineage: Bacteria; Pseudomonadati; Pseudomonadota; Gammaproteobacteria; Enterobacterales; Enterobacteriaceae. The record is from RNAcentral.